AUGGUAGGAUAGAGGCCUACCAUGGUGGUAACGGGUAACGGGGUGUUAGGGCACGACACCGGAGAGGGAGCCUGAGAAACGGCUACCACAUCCNAGGAUGGCAGCAGGCGCGCAAAUUACCCAAUCCCGACACGGGGAGGUAGUGACAAUAAAUAACAAUACGGGGUUCUUUAGGAUCUCGUAAUUGGAAUGAGUACAAUUUAAAUCUCUUAACGAGGAACAAUUGGAGGGCAAGUCUGGUGCCAGCAGCCGCGGUAAUUCCAGCUCCAAUAGCGUAUAUNAAAGUUGUUGCAGUUAAAAAGCUCGUAGUUGAAUUUCGGGGUCAGUAGGUCGGUCGUGCCACUGGUAUGAACUGGUUUUACUGAUUCCUCCCUCUUGAAGAACUGUAAUGCCAUUAAUUUGGUGUUGCAGGGAAUCAGGACUGUUACUUUGAAAAAAUUAGAGUGUUUAAAGCAGGCUUUAGCUUGAAUACAUUAGCAUGGAAUAAUGAAAUAGGACGUUUGAUCCUAUUUUGUUGGUUUCUAGGAUUGACGUAAUGAUUAAUAGGGAUAGUUGGGGGCAUUAGUAUUCAAUUGUCAGAGGUGAAAUUCUUGGAUUUAUUGAAGACUAACUACUGCGAAAGCAUUUGCCAAGGAUGUUUUCAUUAAUCAAGAACGAAAGUUAGGGGAUCGAAGACGAUCAGAUACCGUCGUAGUCUUAACCAUAAACUAUGCCGACNAGGGAUCGGAUGAUGUUAAUUUUUUAAUGACUCAUUCGGCGCCUUACGGGAAACCAAAGUGUUUGGG
Molecule: ribosomal RNA, 785 nt
Filed under: uncultured Glomus
Lineage: Eukaryota; Fungi; Glomeromycota; Glomeromycetes; Glomerales; Glomeraceae
Description: SSU rRNA
Rfam family: Eukaryotic small subunit ribosomal RNA
Source: RNAcentral